GUUGAUCCUGCUAGAGGACACUGCUAUCGGCUUGGGGUUAAGACAUGCAAGUGUAACGAACUCACAUCCGAGUUCGUCGCAAACGGCUCAGUAGUGUCGUUAACCUACCCUGUAGAGGCGGAAAACGCCGGGAAACUGGCGGUAAUUCGCCAUAGGAGCAUUGUUCUGGAAAUGAUAUUGCUCUCAAAUGGGUGCUCUAGGUAUGUAGAGCUCACCGCUGCAGGACGGGACGGCAAUGGAUCAUACUUGUAAGUGGGGUAAUUGCCCACUUAGGUUAUGACCCGCGCGGGCGAUGUAAGUCGUGGCCCGGAGAAGGGAACUGAGACAAGGUCCCUAGCCCCACGGGGCGCAGCAGUUACGAAACCUCACCAAUGCGCGAAAGCGUGAGUGGGCCAAGCCGAGUGACGGGAGAUAAUUCCGUCUGUGGCGGUACCGUAGUAUGGUCCGCUAGAAAGGAGAGGGCAAGGCUGGUGCCAGCCGCCGCGGUAAAACCAGCUCUUCGAGUGGUGUCCAUGAUUAUUGAGCUUAAAGCGUUCGUAGCCGGUUUAGUAGGUCCCUGCUUAAAUCCGGCCGCCUAACGGUCGGCCUGGUAGGGAUACCGCUUUACUUGGGGAUGGGAGACGGUGACGGUAUUCCAGAGGUAGGGGUGAAAUCCUAUGAUCUCUGGAGGACCACCAGUGGCGUAGGCGGUCGCCGAGAACAUGCCCGACGGUGAGGGACGAAACCCAGGGGAGCGAAUCGGAUUAGAUACCCGAGUAGUCCUGGGCGUAAACCAUGCCCGCUAAGUGUUGCAUUGGCCACGAGCCAUUGCGGUGCUGUAGCAAAAGCGAUAAGCGGGCCGCUUGGGAAGUACGGUCGCAAGACUGAACGCACAGGUCACACCGACUUGUGCCAGGAAACUUAAAGGAAUUGGCGGGGGAGCACCACAAGGGGUGGAGCUUGCGGUUUAAUUGGACUCAACGCCGGAAAUCUUACCUGCCCAGACAGCCGAAUGAGAGCCAGGUUGAUGACCUUGCUCGACGAGCUGAGAGCUGGUGCAUGGCCAUCGUAAAUUCGUGCCGUGAGGUAUCAGCUUAAGUGCUGCAACGAAUGAGAUCCCUGCCACCUAAUUGCCAGCCGGGGGCUUCGGCCCUGCCGGGGCACAUUAGGGGGACCGCCAUCGAGAAGAUGGAGGAAGGUGGGGGCCACGGUAGGUCAGUAUGCCGCGAUAUGGGCAGGGCCACACGCGUGCUACAAUGGCCGGGACAAUGUGUUACAACGCCGAGAGGCGAAGUCAAUCACUAAACCCGGUCGUAGUCGGAAUCGGGGGUUGGAACUCACCCCCGUGAACCUGGAAUCCCUAUCAUCUGUAGACUCCCUAUAGAUGGGGAAAGUAUCCGCGUGUCACUAACGCGCGGAGAAUACGUCCCUGCCGGCGCCGAGAUUACCUCUGUGCCGGGGAAUUCUUGCACACACCGCCCGUCGCUCCAUGCGAGCGGGUUUGGGGUGAGGCUGUGUCCAUUGGGCGCAGACGAAUCUUGGGCUCGCAAGUAGGGAGAAGUCGUAAC
Molecule: ribosomal RNA, 1547 nt
Filed under: Candidatus Thorarchaeota archaeon
Lineage: Archaea; Promethearchaeati; Candidatus Thorarchaeota
Description: bacterial SSU rRNA
Rfam family: Archaeal small subunit ribosomal RNA
Source: RNAcentral